RNAcentral lists this ribosomal RNA (232 nucleotides) under uncultured bacterium. Its description in RNAcentral is "partial 16S ribosomal RNA". It matches the Rfam family "Bacterial small subunit ribosomal RNA", at positions 32 to 243 of the family's 1533-position model. The record is from RNAcentral.
AAUCAACGCUGGCGGCGUGCCUCAGACAUGCAAGUCGAACGCGAAAGUUCCCUUCGGGGAGCGAGUAGAGUGGCGUCCGGGUGAGUAACACGUAGGUAAUCUACCUUUGGGUGGGGAAUAACAACCGGAAACGGUUGCUAAUACCGCAUAAUGCAGCGGCACCGCAUGGUGACAGUUGUUAAAGCGGGGGAUCGCAAGACCUCGCGCCUAAAGAGGAGCCUGUGGCGGAUUA